CAGGACGAACGCUGACGGCGUGCCUAACACAUGCAAGUCAAGGGUUUCUUCGGAAACACUGGCGCACGGGUGAGUAACACGUAGGUAAUCUGCCUCUAUCCCUGACAUAAUAUCGAGAAAUUGGUACUAAUAUCAGAUGAGGCCGGGAGGUCAAAGGGGCAACCUGGAUAGAGAUGAGCCUGCGUCUGAUUAGCUAGUUGGUAAGGUAAUGGCUUACCAAGGCAACGAUCAGUAGCUGGCCUGAGAGGGUGGUCAGCCACACUGGAACUGAGACACGGUCCAGACUCCUACGGGAGGCAGCAGUGAGGAAUUUUGCGCAAUGGGCGAAAGCCUGACGCAGCGACGCCGUGUGCGGGAUGAAGGAGCUUCGCUCUGUAAACCGCUGUCGGGAGGGACUAAAAGCUCCGUUACGGGGCUGGGACGGUACCUCCAAAGGAAGGACCGGCUAACUACGUGCCAGCAGCCGCGGUAA
This 472-nucleotide ribosomal RNA is filed under the name uncultured bacterium. RNAcentral's name for it is "bacterial SSU rRNA". It matches the Rfam family "Bacterial small subunit ribosomal RNA", at positions 25 to 523 of the family's 1533-position model. The record is from RNAcentral.